UGAAUGGUAGUGGAAAGUGGUCCUUCCUUGUGGUGUUGUUGAGCUUCCUAUAGUCAAUGCACACUCUCCAACCUGUUUGAAUACGGGUUGGCACAAGCUCAUCCUCGGCAUUCUUCACCACAGUGACUCCGGACUUCUUUGGGAACAACCUUGAACCGGUGAGACCCAACGGCUAUCCGAAGAUUGGAUAAGAUCACUCCACAAUCGAGAAGCUUUAUAAUCUCCUUUUUCACAACUUCCAUCAUUGGAGGGUUGAGUCGGCGUUGAGCCUCUCGAGUUGGUUUAGCCCCCUCCUCUAGAAAU
RNAcentral lists this long non-coding RNA (303 nucleotides) under Malus domestica (apple). RNAcentral describes it as "long non-coding RNA (MDOM_LNC005760)". Lineage: Eukaryota; Viridiplantae; Streptophyta; Magnoliopsida; Rosales; Rosaceae. The record is from RNAcentral.